AAGCGCAUAGAGAACGCCAAUCCUCGUCCGACGCGCCUCGGAGGUCUCCUGGUCCGGUGUCAUUGCUAUCGACCUGCUGAACAAUGUGAACGCAGUCACCUGCGACGAUCCUGCCUGGGUCGUAGUCCAAAUCCCGGAAAUGGUAUAGCCGCUAGUGCUCCCGUUAAGAGCGGAACACAACAAGCCACCCCGCCUUCAGGAGGCACAUCAGACCGGAUUUUCGGGAGCGAUGCCUCGAACCUGCGAGGGCUACAUCUUGGCUUUUGAAGUGGUACAGCCGCCCCGGCUCGAACGGGGGACCCCCAGAUCCACAAUCUGGCAGCCAUAGUGAUCAUAGGGGAUCAGUAAGCAUCAUACCACUAAAUUUCCUUAGC
This 374-nucleotide unclassified non-coding RNA is filed under the name plant metagenome. RNAcentral describes it as "partial contains 5.8S ribosomal RNA, internal transcribed spacer 2, and large subunit ribosomal RNA". The record is from RNAcentral.